This 433-nucleotide ribosomal RNA is filed under the name uncultured bacterium. Its description in RNAcentral is "partial 16S ribosomal RNA". It matches the Rfam family "Bacterial small subunit ribosomal RNA", at positions 29 to 507 of the family's 1533-position model. The record is from RNAcentral.
AACGAACGCUGGCGGCAUGCCUAACACAUGCAAGUCGAACGAGACCUUCGGGUCUAUUGGCGCACGGGUGCGUAACGCGAGGGAACCUUCCCUUAUGUUCGGAAUAACUCCCCGAAAGGGGUGCUAAUACCGGAUAAUAUCUACGGACCAAAGAUUUAUCGCCUUUGGAUGGGCCCUCGUUGGAUUAGCUAGUUGGUAGGGUAAUAGCCUACCAAGGCGACGAUCCAUAGCUGGUUUGAGAGGAUGAUCAGCCACACUGGGACUGGGACACGGCCGAGAAUCCUACGGGAGGCAGCAGUGGGGAAUAUUGGACAACGGGCUAAAGGCUGAUCCAGCAAGGCCGGGUGAGUGAUGAAGGCCUUAGAGUUGUAAAGCUCAUUUAACCGGGAUGAUAAUGACAGUACCGGGAGAAUAAGCCCCGGCUAACUCCGUG